RNAcentral lists this ribosomal RNA (494 nucleotides) under uncultured bacterium. Its description in RNAcentral is "bacterial SSU rRNA". It matches the Rfam family "Bacterial small subunit ribosomal RNA", at positions 28 to 511 of the family's 1533-position model. The record is from RNAcentral.
GACGAACGCUGGCGGCGUGCCUAAUACAUGCAAGUCGAGCGGACCAAAGGGAGCUUGCUCCUGGAGGUUAGCGGCGAACGGGUGAGUAACACGUGGGCAACCUGCCUGUAAGACUGGGAUAACAUCGAGAAAUCGGUGCUAAUACCGGAUAAUAAAAAGAACUGCAUGGUUCUUUUUGAAAGAUGGUUUCGGCUAUCACUUACAGAUGGGCCCGCGGCGCAUUAGCUAGUUGGUGAGGUAACGGCUCACCAAGGCGACGAUGCGUAGCCGACCUGAGAGGGUGAUCGGCCACACUGGGACUGAGACACGGCCCAGACUCCUACGGGAGGCAGCAGUAGGGAAUCUUCCGCAAUGGACGAAAGUCUGACGGAGCAACGCCGCGUGAGCGAUGAAGGCCUGGGUCGUAAAGCUCUGUGGGAGAGACGAAGAAAGACCUGUGAAGAGCAGGCCUUGACGGUAUACUCCUUAGCAAGCACCGGCUAACUCCGUGCCAG